Mus musculus (house mouse) is the source of this 687-nucleotide long non-coding RNA. RefSeq annotates it as predicted gene, 41059. NCBI's taxonomy places the organism in Eukaryota, Metazoa, Chordata, Mammalia, Rodentia, Muridae. The record is from RefSeq and is a predicted model, not a curated record. The transcript is spliced from 3 exons.
AAGUCUCUGUGUUUCAACACAGAUUGGAUUUUGCCCACUGAGAUCUUCAGCUUGCUCUGCCUCAUUUAUCAUUGAGAUGGGCUUCACAGUGUCAGAAGCAACCGCAGCAGGUGGUGUACAAAGCUGAUGGCUGGUGGUCGAAUGCACCAGAUGUCCAGCCAAAGCAGACAUGACCAAAAGAACCUGGAAGGAAAGCAACAGAAAGGAAGCAUUCAGGGAAUGGAGCAGACACUGAAAUUGGACUUUGGAAAAAAAGCUAUCAGCACAUUUGGCAGCUUCCAUGGAAAGGUCUAUGUGGCCCAGAACUGAGGUCUCUGGCCAGCAAUCAUGUUGAAGCCAUGAAAUGAGAAUUGUAAUUCCAUUGCACUCCCUGUUAAGAUGCACUCAGAGAGGAAAGCUAAACGGUCAUGAUCUGAACACCCUGGAUCCAUGAGUCAAAAUGACUCUUCCCUGGUGUUGUUUCUGUCAGUUAUUCCGUCACAGUGAUGAAAAACUGACUAUCAAGAAGGCAACGUCCACCUCCCUCCCUCCUCCAAACUCAUGUGCUGUAUCUCAAAGACAAUUAUUCUGAAAUUGUCAAAAACAUUUUUGGAGAAAUAUUUUUUUUAACUUUCAAACUUGGUUGUUUUCAUAUAAAAUAUGUAUGUAAAAGAUGAUAUAACAAUUUUCAAUAAAAUGUAAUUUUAU